GGUAGGCCCCCUCCCCAUUUUAGAAGAUCCCUUCCCUUCCCACAAUCCCUCUUGGCUUGAGGGCUCUAAGUCCCAUAAACCUUCACCCGAGCAUUGCAACGGGUGCCAGGGUAAGGAACUCGAGUUAUUCCCUCUUUCCCUUCCCUCCUGGGUCGGGUCUGGGGUACAGCGAACCCCAGUCUCCUCCCUCCCCCUCUCCACAACAUUUCCGGUCCCUAGGCAACCUGCCCUUGUCGCCGUGGAGACGCGGAGAGGGCGGGGUCGAGCAGCUGCCAGUGGCUCAGAAGCCGAGGCAGCGGAGGGUCCUGGGGGCAGGGGUGCUGGGGGCAGGGGCCGUCCUGGUCCGCACCGCCCCUCCCCCGCAGGGCCUGGCCCCUCCCCGCCUCGAGCCGUCCACUAGUCCAUGCAACGGACACUCCCAAAGGGGAGCCAAACCCCGUGGCGCGCCCCGCCCCCAACAAGCACGUGGGAACGGCGCAAACUUAAAAGGGUCCGCGCGUGGUCAAAGCCGACCCAGGAGCAGACCGGGAGGGGCUUCCGCGAGGCGGGGGGAAAUCCCAGGGGCCGCUAGAGGUUGCGGAGCAGGGCAGCCGAAGGAGGGUGCACGGGACUGGGGAGCCCGGAGCCCGCAGACACUCCCCAGCCCAGCCGCUGUCACGACAAUCCAGCCUGGACAAAGGCCAUCAGGCUCCCAGCACCACAUAGGAGUGUCCAUCCAAAGGGAGAAGGCACCAGAGGAAGAAGCGGCUGGAGAAGGGGCAGCCAAAGCCAACCGCUCUGCAAUCCCCAUUGGCCCGCCCAGCCUAGUCACCAGGGUCUAUCACCUUUUUGCAUUUGGCCUCUACCAACGGACAUAUAGCAAGGGCAAAAGCUUAAACAUUUCCCCCUCUGCUUUGGUGACACUUUCCCCUGCGUCCAUAAGUCAGCUGACAUCAUGCUACAUAGAGCACUGGGCUUAG
This 959-nucleotide long non-coding RNA is filed under the name Sarcophilus harrisii (Tasmanian devil). RNAcentral describes it as "lncRNA (ENSSHAG00000029349.1)". Lineage: Eukaryota; Metazoa; Chordata; Mammalia; Dasyuromorphia; Dasyuridae. The record is from RNAcentral.